ACUACGGGUGGCAGCAGUGAGGAAUAUUGGUCAAUGGGCGGAAGCCUGAACCAGCCAAGUAGCGUGCAGGAUGACGGCCCUACGGGUUGUAAACUGCUUUUAUACGGGAAUAACGCGCCUUACGUGUAGGGCUUUGCAUGUACCGUAUGAAUAAGGACCGGCUAAUUCCGUGCCAGCAGCCGCGGUAAUACGGAAGGUCCGGGCGUUAUCCGGAUUUAUUGGGUUUAAAGGGAGCGUAGGCCGCAUGUCAAGCGUGCUGUGAAAUGUCCGGGUUCAACCCGGGCCUUGCAGCGCGAACUGGCGUGCUUGAGUCCGCGGAAAGCAGGCGGAAUUCGUCGUGUAGUGGUGAAAUGCUUAGAUAUGACGAAGAACCCCGAUUGCGAAGGCAGCUUGCUGCAGCGGAACUGACGCUGAUGCUCGAAAGCGCGGGUAUCGAACAGGAUUAGAUACCCCAGUAGUC
Molecule: ribosomal RNA, 460 nt
Filed under: uncultured bacterium
Lineage: Bacteria
Description: partial 16S ribosomal RNA
Rfam family: Bacterial small subunit ribosomal RNA
Source: RNAcentral